GGGCAGGCCCGCUCUGUCGCCGCCGGGAAACCGGGGGAGGAAAGUCCGGGCAACACAGAGCACCGCGCAAGCUAACGACUUGAUAUCCGUGAGGGUAUGGCAGCGUAACAGAGAAUGACCGCCCGGCGAUCGCCGGGUAAGGGUGAAAAGGCGGGGUAAGAGCCCACCGCGGAGGCAGCGAUGUCGCCCGGCCGUACGUCCCGCGGGUUGCAAGACCAUGUAUAC
This 225-nucleotide RNase P RNA is filed under the name Alistipes sp. RNAcentral describes it as "partial RNase P RNA component class A". It matches the Rfam family "Bacterial RNase P class A", at positions 1 to 237 of the family's 367-position model. Rfam says of the family: Ribonuclease P (RNase P) is a ubiquitous endoribonuclease, found in archaea, bacteria and eukarya as well as chloroplasts and mitochondria. Its best characterised activity is the generation of mature 5'-ends of tRNAs by cleaving the 5'-leader elements of precursor-tRNAs. Cellular RNase Ps are ribonucleoproteins. Lineage: Bacteria; Pseudomonadati; Bacteroidota; Bacteroidia; Bacteroidales; Rikenellaceae. The record is from RNAcentral.